Molecule: ribosomal RNA, 497 nt
Filed under: uncultured bacterium
Lineage: Bacteria
Description: partial 16S ribosomal RNA
Rfam family: Bacterial small subunit ribosomal RNA
Source: RNAcentral
GAUGAACGCUGGCGGCGUGCCUAAUACAUGCAAGUCGAGCGAAUAGAUGAGGAGCUUGCUCCUCUGACGUUAGCGGCGGACGGGUGAGUAACACGUGGAUAACCUACCUAUAAGACUGGGAUAACUUCGGGAAACCGGAGCUAAUACCGGAUAAUAUAUUGAACCGCAUGGUUCAAUAGUGAAAGACGGUUUUGCUGUCACUUAUAGAUGGAUCCGCGCCGCAUUAGCUAGUUGGUAAGGUAACGGCUUACCAAGGCAACGAUGCGUAGCCGACCUGAGAGGGUGAUCGGCCACAUUGGAACUGAGACACGGUCCAGACUCCUACGGGAGGCAGCAGUAGGGAAUCUUCCGCAAUGGGCGAAAGCCUGACGGAGCAACGCCGCGUGAGUGAUGAAGGUCUUCGGAUCGUAAAACUCUGUUAUUAGGGAAGAACAAAUGUGUAAGUAACUAUGCACGUCUUGACGGUACCUAAUCAGAAAGCCACGGCUAACUACGUG